AAAGAAAGGCGAUGCUAAGAAACGUGCUGCAGGGGAGGCUGGCACAUUCUGCUCCUUAGCUAACCGCACAGGCCCAUGGGUCCACACACAUCAGACCAUGGCUCUCUGUGGUCUAUCUUUGCCAUUACUUUAACCAGGCUGUUUCUCAUGCGCUCAUGGAGGGUGACUGAAGAUGCCACCCCGAGGUGCACCCUCAGCCUCGCUGGACACUUACGGCUCGCAUUCUCCAGCCGGACCAGGCAGUUGAGGAAGUCAUCGAAGUCCAGCUGGAGCUCCUCAUCCGCAUACCUGAGCACAAUCAGCUGCAGGAGGUGGCUGCUCAGCUGAAAGCCUGUGGGGACAAAGGAGGAGACCCAGGACUCGCUGUAUCCGAGCCCCGAGAUGAUGACGUGACCUUAGAAGAUGGCAGAGCCACACAAUAGAAGGCGUUUGGGUUCCUGAAUCACUGUAUGAACAGAGCCACCCACAGAAUAUGAACAUCCUCCCUGGACUGUCAUAAUGAGUGAGGAAAAAACUUUACUGUGUUUGAGCCUUUAUAUAUUUGGGGUCUAUUCACUACUGCAGCUAGUGUUACCUUGAGUCAUUGGUGCCUUGAAUUACAGAACUGCCACAACGAAAUUCUAAAAUAUGUUAGCAGUUGAGCAAGAGGGAUCAUGGAACUGUUCGAGCUGGAAAAUGGUUAUCUAUGUUAUGCAGUGGCAAAACAUUGGGUAAAUCUGUUGCAUGUUGUUAUGGACUGAAUGUUUGUGGUCUCCCCUAAAUUCAUAUGUUGAAUCCUAACCCUCGAAGUAGUAGUGUCAGGAGGUGGGGCCUUUGGGAGGUGACUAGGUUGUGAGGGUGGAGCCCUCAUGGAUGGGGUUAGUGCCAUUAUAAAAGAGGCCCCAGAGAGCUGCCUUGCCCUCUUUCUACCAUGUGAGGACAGAGUGAGAAGGAUCCAUCUAUAAAUCAGAAACAGGGCCCUCCACAGAUAUAGGUACUGCCUGUGUCAUCUUCUUGGACUUCCUGGUAUCUAGAACUGUGAGAAAUAAAUUCCUGUUCUUUGUAAGCCACUCAGUCUAUGGUAUUUUUUUAUAGCCACCCAAAUAGACUAAGACAACUAUAAAAAUACAGAAGGCAGAACAAAUCACUACUGAGGCUGUGUUCUAUGGGAAAAGAAUGAAAAAGGCUGGAAUAGUCAUGGUUUUGGGUUGUAGUAUUUUUUUUUUUUUUUUUUGAGAUGGAGUAUCACUCUGUUGUCCAGGCUAGAGUGCAGUGAUGCAAUCUCGGCUCACUGCAAGCUCCACCUCCUGGGUUCACGCCAUUCUCCUGCCUCAGCCUCCCAAGUAGCUGGGACUAUAGGCACUCACCACCACCCCUGGCUAAUUUUUUGUAUUUUUAGCAGGGGUGGGGUUUCACUGUGUUAGCCAGGAUGGUUUCAAUCUCCUGACCUCGUGAUCCACCCGCCUUGGCCUCCCAAAGUGCUGGGAUUACAGGCGUGAGCCACCGUGCCCUGCUGUUGUAUUUUAAAAGCUGUUACAAGAAAGAGAUGAGCUCAGGCAAGACUUGAUUGGUUGGAGCACAUGAAAGGGAAUAGAGCCAGAAACCAGAAAUUUGUGGUCUCACAGGGUUAGAAGGGCCAACUUCUAGAACCCAAACAGGAAGAAAUAAGACUGAAAAAGAUUCUAGAGAUGAAGGCCCAAUACAAAUGUUCAAUUAAACAAAGAGAUUCAGGCCAAGGGAAAGUCCAGAGUAGAAAUGUUUACUUCCUACGUAGGUCGAUAUCUUUAGAUGCUCUCAGGGCAGCUGCCUUCAAAGGUACCUCUCAUCAAGAUGGGUGUGGAGGGAAUGGAUCCUGUGAGCAGUAGGGCUGCCUGUCUUCAAAUUCACUGUGUAAACCUGGAUGACAAAGAGUGCCAAGGAGGUGUGUCAGGCUAGAGACCAGAGGCUCUUCCUCUAUUGGAUUGCAGGAACCCCCUGAAGACUCUUCAACAAACCGAGAGCUGGGGUGAGCCCCCACCAAGACAGGAGGGAGAUUAAAUUUCCCUCUAAUCUGGGUGUAUAUGAGGAGUCUGAGACAGAUGAAUUUGAUUUGCCAAAAAUGGAGAGAGAAGGCUGGGCGUGGUGGCUCAUACCUGUAAUUCCAGCACUUUGGGAGGCCAAGGUGGGUGGUUUCUCUGAGGUCAGGGGUUCGAGACUAGCCUGGCCAACACGGUGAAACCCCAUCUCUACUAAAGAUACAAAAUGAGUCGGGCGUGGUGGCGCAUGCCUGUACUCUCAGCUGCUUGGGAGGCUGAGGCAGGAGUAUCACUUGAACCUGGGAGGCAGAGGUUGCAGUGAGACGAGAUCGCACCACUGCACUCCAGCCUGGGCAAUAAGAACAAAACUCCGUCUCAAAAAAAAAAAAAAAAAAAGAAAGAAAGAAAGAAAAAGGAAAGCGAGAGAGAAGCACAGUGCUCCUUACGCCCCAGGGCCAUGGGACUUGCUCGUAUCUGCAGUUAACACAGGAACAAGCACGGUACCAGAAUUCCCCAUCAUCCAGAGCAGUGUGACACAGACGCUUCUGCUCAGCUGGACCAACAGAACGCCACUCCGGAGAACUAGGAGUAAACAAAAUUGGUGUUCAGGCAGAGGUCAUGAUGAAGAGCAACAAUGGCCUUGAUGUGGAACCCACAGUGUGCGGUUAUGGAGGAAAUAAGACCUGCUUAGUAACUACUCACUGGGUCCCAAAAAUGCACCCAGGGAUGUAGCGGCAGGUGAGCCACUGGCCCCCAAAUAAGAGGGCUGGUCAGAAAGUACAUCUCCAAGUGUUGCUGAUGGAUAAAAUACCCCUGAGGAUGAUCUGAACCACCGACAUGGAAGAUUAUCUUGGGAUAGUCACAAGGCAUUGCAUGCCCGUGGGGUAGCAGAAGAGCCCGGCUGGAAGCCACAAGUCUGCUGACUUUCGUGCUUGGCCUCCAACUUGCCAUGUGACCUGGAGCAGUACUUGGCCCUUCCUUAAUGGACAAGCUGACACUUGGAAAGGUGAUAAUGCCUUACACCUGCCCAUGCUUGAUGUUGUCUGUACCCGGCACCUUUUGUAUGUGACCUCGCUGGCAAGCCAGGUGGGGUUCUGUGAGCUAGGUGUGCCCGUCCUGCAGAUAAGAGGGCUCAGGUAGGCCCAUGGAAACACUCUCAGGGAAGAGUAGGGGUAGGAAUGGCUGCCUGUCACUCUCCAAACUCAGGAUUUGUGACUCCAAGUUCAUUGCAUUUUCUGUGACUCCCACAGCCGCCUCCAAAUAGUUCAAAGUAGGUCACCACUGUUGCGGUGCUACAGCCAACGUGGCAGCUCCCUCUCAUCCUGUGAUCUCAACUCAACCUCAGGGGAGUGCUCAGGUGAUCCAAGGGGAGGAUCAGCCGGGACCUGUCUCCAGGUGCUCGGGCCAGGGUCAGAAGAGUGGAACUGGCAGCCAUUAUUUUCUUUUGGAGCCAUUAUCCUAAGUGGCUCACACCCAGAUAAUUGGCCUGACAGGCUGGCCAUGCGGUGCCUUCAACCCUACUCACAUGUCACCAGCAGCACAGCGAAGUCAGGGAGUCGGGAUGGCGCCUGCCCCUCCCAUCACCCAUGGAGGCUGCAUGAGUGGAAGACAAAUUUUAUUCCAGCCUUGGCUCUCAGUCACUUUCUUGAUUUCUACCUCUGUGAGUCCCAGAAAAUGGGAGACAAUGGCCCAUUUUCCCUUUAUAGGCUACGAUCUCAAAGUUGAGGGGCACUGCACAUCUUACAACGUGACGCAGUCUCACUAAUUUUGGUUUCAGUAGUUCUCUGUGCUUUCCAUUUCUGCCAGGAGAGGGAGGCCAAUCUCUUUCCUCCUCAACCCAUCUCAGCUCAUCUCUGCCAAUGCUUCUUGGUUCUCAGAAGGCGGCAGCCAAGGCCAGAGCAGAGGAUGGUGGGACGAGAGCCUCCAUGGGGACAAUGACAGCCUGGAAAGCACAGGCCUGUGUGCCCUGCCCUCACGCUGGGGUCUGGCUAAUACAGCAGCGGCUGCACCAUGUCUGGCGACCUGGUAGCUGUGUCUGGACUGAAGACAAACACUGGCUCAGUUUUAACCAAGUUCUAGACUAGCUUCAGAUUUCCCCAGAAGCUCAGGGGCCAUGGAUGUGGCAGGAAAGGGCUUCAGGAGCCCAACAAGCAGCGGACGAGCAACAGCUUCAGGCAGGCCCUGCCACGCACCCACACAAACAUCCCUGGUUCUUAGUCACCUGGUCCACUUCCCAAGGGACCAGAGCUGGAGGAGCUGUGGGGACACACACAGAAAAGGCAGACCUUUCUUGAUAACUGGGGGCCAAAACUCUGGUUAACAGCUCUGUAAUAGAUAAAAUUCCAAUUCCAUGUCCUCUAUUUUUUUUCCUUUAAAAAAAAAAAAAAAAAAGAGAUGGGGUCAACAUGCUCUGUUGCCCAGGCUGGAAUGCAGUGGUGCAAUCAUAGCUCCCUGCAGCCUCAAUCUCUCAUACUCAAGUGAUCCUCCCACCUCGGCUUGCUGACGUGUUGGAAUUAUAGGCAUGAGCCACCAUGCUCAGCCUCACUUCUAUUUCUCUGCUGGGCUAUUGGGCCUCUGCCAUGGUCAGUGACCAUCAGAGAGAAUCCUAUAGUUACAUGCUAGGUAAUAUUUCAGGGAUUCCGACACUCCAAAUACACACACACACACAAACACACACGCACUUAUGCAUAUGCACACUGCUUACUGGAGUUACUCACAACUACAGAUAAAGCUUUUCACCAUAUCACUGGGUUAUAAACAUCACCAUGGGAGGUAACACAUUUAUGUAUUGACAUAAAUACAAUUCGUGAAAGUUAGAGUGCUGUUGUAAAAGUCUUUCUUGAGAAUCAACCUUGAUGCAAGGUGGGCCUGAGGGCUGAAAGGGGAGGAAGAAGGGGCACCUCAGAAUCGGGACAGGAUCCUGAGUCAGAGCCCGGGAGGAUAGUAGACAGGCCACUCCUUCACAUGUCUGCACAAGCCAGCUCUGGCCCCACACGCCCCGGGAACCAGCCAGAGAGGCAGGAUAGGGUGACUGACCUGUCGCUCCACGACCCGUUCCACUCAACCUGGCCCCAAGGGUUCCGGAUUCGGAUGAGCUCGAUUCUCUGGCCUCGGAAGCUUACCUAGAAGGGAAAAGCAUGAGGGAAGUGUGAAAUGAUAAAUAUGGUGGAGGUUUGGCCACAUUCAUCUAUGAGCUCCAGGUGGACCAGCUCCAUCCAGAACUGGUUCUGUUGAAAGUCUCUUGCCUAAAAUGCUGCUGAAGGUAUGUAGAAGUUCGCCAGUUCUUAACCAGCCCUUGGAACCUUCUAAUUCCUAUUGAAUAAUUGCUACUAUUGCCAAUGAUAUUAUAUUAAGCACCAAAAUGCUUAUGCCACAUCUGGGAAGUAAAGUAGAAUUGCAAUUAACAAGAAAUUAGUCCAUAUGAAUCUAAAAAUGGGUUUCUCUCUAGACUUGGAUCUCCCUAGAGGCAGGAGCCAAGUCUUAGGCAUCUUCAGCAUCUAGCAGAGUGAAUGGUAAAGAGUAGUCCUCAAAGGUGCUCAUGGAACUAUUACUGAACUUUCUUCAUCCUAGCAUCCCAUGCACAGAUGAAUGAUAAGAAAAUAAGCACAUGUUGGGGAUUUAAACACAACAAUAAACAAAAACAGCUUUUACGUCUUCUAGACCCAAUAUUCUCCUUAUUUCAGGUGUCUGUGAGGAUUCCUGCUGUUCACCUCAAUCACCCUUGAGCCUGUGUGCCCUCAGGCUCUGCCUGGGAGCAGGGACAAGGGCCAAUGCAUUUGAGAAGGGUUUUAGAGGAGAGAGGGUGAAAGUAAAAGACUUCUAGUUAUCAACUAACCAGAAACUGUAGCAGUCAGAAUGUUUUAUCCUCAUGCAUUUGGCAUAAAUUAUAUUUUGGAUGUGUAA
This 5897-nucleotide long non-coding RNA is filed under the name Homo sapiens (human). RNAcentral describes it as "HSALNT0023697". Lineage: Eukaryota; Metazoa; Chordata; Mammalia; Primates; Hominidae. The record is from RNAcentral.